Molecule: transfer RNA, 69 nt
Filed under: Buergeria japonica (Japanese Buerger's frog)
Lineage: Eukaryota; Metazoa; Chordata; Amphibia; Anura; Rhacophoridae
Description: tRNA-Pro
Rfam family: tRNA
About the family: Transfer RNA (tRNA) molecules are approximately 80 nucleotides in length. Their secondary structure includes four short double-helical elements and three loops (D, anti-codon, and T loops). Further hydrogen bonds mediate the characteristic L-shaped molecular structure. tRNAs have two regions of fundamental functional importance: the anti-codon, which is responsible for specific mRNA codon recognition, and the 3' end, to which the tRNAs corresponding amino acid is attached (by aminoacyl-tRNA synthetases). tRNAs cope with the degeneracy of the genetic code in two manners: having more than one tRNA (with a specific anti-codon) for a particular amino acid; and 'wobble' base-pairing, i.e. permitting non-standard base-pairing at the 3rd anti-codon position.
Source: RNAcentral
CAGGAUAUAGUUUAACUAGAAUGCUGGCUUUGGGGGUCGGUGGUGGAGGUUAAAGUCCUUCUGUCCUGA